UAGAGAGAAGCUUGCUUCUCUUGAGAGCGGCGGACGGGUGAGUAAUGCCUAGGAAUCUGCCUGGUAGUGGGGGAUAACGUUCGGAAACGGACGCUAAUACCGCAUACGUCCUACGGGAGAAAGCAGGGGACCUUCGGGCCUUGCGCUAUCAGAUGAGCCUAGGUCGGAUUAGCUAGUUGGUGAGGUAAUGGCUCACCAAGGCGACGAUCCGUAACUGGUCUGAGAGGAUGAUCAGUCACACUGGAACUGAGACACGGUCCAGACUCCUACGGGAGGCAGCAGUGGGGAAUAUUGGACAAUGGGCGAAAGCCUGAUCCAGCCAUGCCGCGUGUGUGAAGAAGGUCUUCGGAUUGUAAAGCACUUUAAGUUGGGAGGAAGGGCAUUAACCUAAUACGUUAGUGUUUUGACGUUACCGACAGAAUAAGCACCGGCUAACUCUGUGCCAGCAGCCGCGGUAAUACAGAGGGUGCAAGCGUUAAUCGGAAUUACUGGGCGUAAAGCGCGCGUAGGUGGUUUGUUAAGUUGGAUGUGAAAUCCCCGGGCUCAACCUGGGAACUGCAUUCAAAACUGACUGACUAGAGUAUGGUAGAGGGUGGUGGAAUUUCCUGUGUAGCGGUGAAAUGCGUA
This 627-nucleotide ribosomal RNA is filed under the name Pseudomonas sp. RNAcentral describes it as "bacterial SSU rRNA". It matches the Rfam family "Bacterial small subunit ribosomal RNA", at positions 69 to 692 of the family's 1533-position model. Lineage: Bacteria; Pseudomonadati; Pseudomonadota; Gammaproteobacteria; Pseudomonadales; Pseudomonadaceae. The record is from RNAcentral.